AGUGGCGGACGGGUGAGUAACACGUGAGAAUCUACCUUCAGGUCAGGGACAACAGAUGGAAACGCCUGCUAAUCCCUGAUGAGCCCUUGGGUAAAAGAUUUAUUGCCUGGAGAGGAGCUCGCGUCUGAUUAGCUAGUUGGUGGGGUAAGAGCCUACCAAGGCAACGAUCAGUAGCUGGUUUGAGAGGACGAUCAGCCACACUGGGACUGAGACACGGCCCAGACUCCUACGGGAGGCAGCAGUGGGGAAUUUUCCGCAAUGGGCGAAAGCCUGACGGAGCAAUACCGCGUGAGGGAGGAAGGCCUUUGGGUCGUAAACCUCUUUUCUUAGGGAAGAAGCUCUGACGGUACCUAAGGAAUCAGCAUCGGCUAACUCCGUGCCAGCAGCCGCGGUAAUACGGAGGAUGCAAGCGUUAUCCGGAAUCAUUGGGCGUAAAGCGUCCGCAGGUGGCUAGUCAAGUCUGCUGUCAAAGGUCGGGGCUUAACUCCGAAAAGGCAGUGGAAACUGGCAAGCUAGAGUCCGGUAGGGGUAGAGGGAAUUCCCAGUGUAGCGGUGAAAUGCGUAGAGAUUGGGAAGAACAUCGGUGGCGAAAGCGCUCUACUGGGCCGGAACUGACACUGAGGGACGAAAGCUAAGGGAGCGAAUGGGAUUAGAUACCCCAGUAGUCUUAGCUGUAAACGAUGGAAACUAGGCGUGGCUUGUAUCGACCCGAGCCGUGCCGAAGCUAACGCGUUAAGUUUCCCGCCUGGGGAGUACGCACGCAAGUGUGAAACUCAAAGGAAUUGACGGGGGCCCGCACAAGCGGUGGAGUAUGUGGUUUAAUUCGAUGCAACGCGAAGAACCUUACCAGGGCUUGACAUGUCGCGAAUCUCUUGGAAACGAGAGAGUGCCUUAGGGAGCGCGAACACAGGUGGUGCAUGGCUGUCGUCAGCUCGUGUCGUGAGAUGUUGGGUUAAGUCCCGCAACGAGCGCAACCCUCGUUCUUAGUUGCCAGCAAUCAGAUGGGCACUCUAGGGAGACUGCCGGUGACAAACCGGAGGAAGGUGGGGAUGACGUCAAGUCAGCAUGCCCCUUACGUCCUGGGCGACACACGUACUACAAUGGCCGAGACAAAGGGCAGCGACCUCGCGAGAGCAAGCGAAUCCCAUCAAACUCGGUCUAAGUUCAGAUUGCAGGCUGAAACUCGCCUGCAUGAAGGAGGAAUCGCUAGUAAUCGCCGGUCAGCACACGGCGGUGAAUCCGUUCCCGGGCCUUGUACACACCGCCCGUCA
Molecule: ribosomal RNA, 1271 nt
Filed under: uncultured bacterium
Lineage: Bacteria
Description: bacterial SSU rRNA
Rfam family: Bacterial small subunit ribosomal RNA
Source: RNAcentral